UGUCGCUGUUCUAUUCUAAAGCUAUAUGCGUCUACGUUCUAUGGAUCUGAAUAAAAAUAAUCAAAUAUAUAUAUAUAUUUCAUUGUCGAAGAACGGGAACUCCUGAUACUACAAUCAACGGAGUUGUUUAAAUUGGAGAAGACAUAUAGAGAGAGAGAGAGGUACAACAAAAUUAAAUUGAUUAUCUCCGAUUUACCUGGAAAUGUGUGCGUGCGACG
Molecule: unclassified non-coding RNA, 218 nt
Filed under: Hevea brasiliensis (rubber tree)
Lineage: Eukaryota; Viridiplantae; Streptophyta; Magnoliopsida; Malpighiales; Euphorbiaceae
Source: RNAcentral